CAGCUGGUUACUUUACGUCAAACUGCCGUAUGUCGCAAAAAAGCCAAAGAGCCCACACGUAGUUGGCAGCUACUAUUCACUAAAGUAUAUAUCGUUUUAUUUACUAUUCAAGAUAACUGCUACAAUGGAAAUCUUACGUCCAUCAUUGAUCAACAUAAGUGGAAGAGUAUACAGAAGAAAUACCAUCAAAGAAUACCAGUAUGAAGAGGGGGAAGAGGACGACUCCUACAUGGGACCACCAGCUAGUGAACCGUUUGACGAAGACGAAGAGUUCUGUGACAGCCACUCCAUAGAACAGACUGACAAAGGUUUCAGCUGUGCCAUUGAUGUCCCAAGUGUUCUUUACAAAUACAUCAUCGGGAGGAAAGGAGAGACACGUAGAAGACUAGAGGCAGACACAAAGACAGACAUCAACAUUCCUAAACAAGGAGUGGAAGGGCAGAUCGUGAUCACUGGCUCCCAGAAGGCCGCGGUGUCCUCUGCCGUGACUCGUGUCGAGCUCCUGGUUCAGAGCUUUCGCAAGAAGCAGCCGUUCACCCACUUCCUGUCGUUCGCUCUUAACCACCCUCAAGUUCAGGAUGGAUUCCUGAGGUUUAAAGAGGAGGUGUUGGAGCAGUGUUCUCAGGACCACGGAGUAGAUGGAAGCAUCUUCCAGAACCCUGCUAAGCUCCAUCUGACAGUCGGCACCCUGGCUCUGCUGAACGACCUGGAAGUGACUCAAGCAUGUAAACAACUCCAGCACUGUCAGGACUUUAUCAAGACCAUCACAGAAGGGAAGCCUCUCCCGUUGGAGGUGACAGGGAUUGAGUACAUGAACGAUGACCCAGCCAUGGUGGAUGUCCUGUAUGCCAAGGUCCAAGUCAAAGAUGGUUCGGACAAGCUGCAGGCCAUUGUGGAGCGGCUGGUGGACCACUUUGUUUCCUCAGGGCUGAUGGUCAGAGAAUGGGACAGAGUGAAGCUGCACGGCACAGUGAUGAACACUCUGUUCAGGAAGGCGGCUUCAGCCGAAGCCGCAGGAGGAAGGCAGAACAUGAAAGAGCGGGAGGCCUUCGAUGCCAGGAACAUAUUAAAGAGUUUUGGGUCGUACCAUUUUGGGGGGUUUGACCUGAAUGCUGUCCAGAUUUCCCAGAGGUAUUCUACCGACUGCACCGGCUUCUACACCUGCGCUGGCCUUCUGAACUUCUCCUGACCACCUCCCCCCCUUCACUCAGGUACAGUGGAGCUUGAGAGGGAGAACACAGCCUCCGCCUUCACUCAGGUCAGAGGUGAACGAGGAAGCUUCCAGGUGGACUGGACCUGCAGAGAUGAAUGACAGGGUUACAAGGUGGACAUGUCAGAAACUCUAGGAUGUCCCUGUCACCAUGGACUUGGCUGCAGGCGUGGAGAUGCCAGAGGCAAUCAAAUGCCAAUGGAAUUGUGUCAUAAAAUGCUGUCAUUCAUUUCCGUGGGACAUUGUGCUCCAUCUCCCUCAGUCACGUGCUUCCUGCUAAAAACAUGUCUUCCUGAAGUGUUUACAUUUCAACUGGAGUUGAAGGCCUGAAAACAACGUGAUUAUAUUAAUGACACAUUGGUUUAAUGACACAUUGGAUUAUUGACACAUUGGAUUAAUGACACAUUGGAUUAUUGACACAUUGGAUUAAUGACACAUUGGAUUAUUGACACAUUGGAUUAAUGACACAUUGGAUUAUUGACACAUUGGAUUAAUGACACAUUGGAUUAAUGACACAUUGGAUUAAUGACACAUUGGAUUAUUGACACAUUGGGUUAAUGACAUAUUGGGUUAAUGACACAUUGGAUUAAUGACACAUUGGGUUAAUGACACAUUGGAUUAAUGACACAUUGGGUUAAUGACACAUUGGGUUAAUGACACAUUGGAUUAAUGACACAUUGGGUUAUUGACACAUUGGAUUAUUGACACAUUGGGUUAAUGACACAUUGGGUUAAUGACACAUUGGAUUAAUGACACAUUGGAUUAAUGACACAUUGGGUUAUUGACACAUUGGGUUAAUGACACAUUGGGUUAAUGACACAUUGGAUUAAUGACACAUUGGGUUAUUGACACAUUGGAUUAUUGACACAUUGGAUUAAUGACACUUUGGGUUAAUGACACUUUGGAUGAAUGACACAUUGGGUUAAUGACACAUUGGGUUAAUGACACAUUGGGUUAUUGACACAUUGGGUUAAUGACACAUUGGAUUAACAUUUGGUUUUGAUAUUUUUUUCCCUCUGGUUCCACUAUUGUGAUAUGGGAUUAAUCUGUAAAAAAAAUAUUUUAUUAAUAAACAGACAAAUUAUUCAAAA
Salvelinus fontinalis (brook trout) is the source of this 2301-nucleotide RNA transcript. It is a transcript of the gene named activating signal cointegrator 1 complex subunit 1, with no coding region annotated. The record is from RefSeq and is a predicted model, not a curated record. The transcript is spliced from 10 exons. Lineage: Eukaryota; Metazoa; Chordata; Actinopteri; Salmoniformes; Salmonidae.